UUAAUUUAUUUUUCAAAUGGAAAAAUAUACAAUGUCAUUCCUUGAAAAUUUCCCUAAUCUCUCUUCUUUGUGUGAAGCAUAGUCUAGGAAAAUUUGAAGCAAUAGCGUUGAUUUGUUUGGCAUUAAUAAAAGGAAAUGAAAGCAUAAAUGAAAGAUAGAAACACAACUAGGGAGCGAAGAAAAUUUAGUUUAAUUAAUAUAGGUACUUUAGUUUAAUUAUUUGUCUCAAAGGCUAGAUUGAUAAAUUUCAAUUUUAACUUGACAAAUUACUUAAUUUUAUCUUCUAGCUAAGACUUUAUUAAUUUAAAAAACCAAUAAUUUGUUUAACUUAAGUAGUUUAUGUUCAUAAAGAUAGUUACAUAAAAAAGAAGAAUUUGAAGGCCAGAAUUCAAGAGGAGGGUCAUACUUGAGGACAAUUUGAGACAACAGAAAAAAAAAUCUCUUCAUUUGAAAUGUUUAAUGACAAAACAAUCAUGACUGAAAGAAAAUCGACGGUGAAACUACCAAACCACGUAUCUCGGUUUGCGACGUCGCAGACUUCCUGUCAUAGUUUAUUUUUUAACUGAAAAACUACUUAACGUCCAGUCUUGAAAAUUUCUGUGAUUUUUCCUCUUCGUGCGGAAAAAAUUCUGUGAAAAUUUCAAGGAAUGAUAUUGAUUUGGUCUACUUCAAAAAAUAAAAUGUGAGCGUAGAUUUUUAAACACCGCAAACGAGAUACGUGGUUUGGUAGUUUCACCGUCGAAAUGUUUCAGCCAUGGGCUACCCUUUAUCAGACUAACAACAAUUAUGGAAAAUUCCAGGAUCAUCAGGUUAAUAAUCUCCGUCUCCUCUGUCUGCACUCUUGUCACGAUCCUCAUCAUGUCUGCCAUCAUCAUCAUCAUCUUCAUCAUCGUCAUCAUCAUCAUCGUCUUCAUCAUCAUCAUCGUCAUUAUCAUCAUCAUCAAAAAACAAAUCAGAGUCAGAAUCAGAGCUGCCCAAGUCAUCACCUCCGCCUGUCAUGCUUCCAAAUACUCUUCGUUUUCCACCGACCAUUCUGGAACCUGUUCACAGAGGAAUUAAUUUAUGAGAGGAGUUGGAACAUGUAA
Molecule: long non-coding RNA, 1085 nt
Filed under: Bemisia tabaci
Lineage: Eukaryota; Metazoa; Arthropoda; Insecta; Hemiptera; Aleyrodidae
Description: lncRNA ENSSSA2NGG006436
Source: RNAcentral